RNAcentral lists this ribosomal RNA (252 nucleotides) under uncultured bacterium. RNAcentral's name for it is "partial 16S ribosomal RNA". It matches the Rfam family "Bacterial small subunit ribosomal RNA", at positions 524 to 776 of the family's 1533-position model. The record is from RNAcentral.
UACGUAGGGGGCUAGCGUUAUCCGGAAUUACUGGGCGUAAAGGGUGCGUAGGUGGUUUUUUAAGUCAGAAGUGAAAGGCUACGGCUCAACCGUAGUAAGCUUUUGAAACUGAAAAACUUGAGUGCAGGAGAGGAGAGUAGAAUUCCUAGUGUAGCGGUGAAAUGCGUAGAUAUUAGGAGGAAUACCAGUAGCGAAGGCGGCUCUCUGGACUGUAACUGACACUGAGGCACGAAAGCGUGGGGAGCAAACAGG